This 101-nucleotide Y RNA is filed under the name Microcebus murinus (gray mouse lemur). RNAcentral's name for it is "Y RNA (ENSMICG00000045795.1)". It matches the Rfam family "Y RNA". Rfam says of the family: Y RNAs are components of the Ro ribonucleoprotein particle (Ro RNP), in association with Ro60 and La proteins. The Y RNAs and Ro60 and La proteins are well conserved, but the function of the Ro RNP is not known. In humans the RNA component can be one of four small RNAs -- hY1, hY3, hY4 and hY5. Lineage: Eukaryota; Metazoa; Chordata; Mammalia; Primates; Cheirogaleidae. The record is from Rfam by way of RNAcentral.
AGUGGUGCAAGUGCAGUGGUGUUUACAACUAAUUGAUCACAACCAGUUGCAGAUUCCUUUGUUCCUUCUCCACUCCCACUGCUUCACUUUACCUGCCUUAA